GAUGCAUCUCCAACUUUCUGGCAAACAACUACUCUGUCUCGUGACUUUAUAACUCCAGAGGCCUUUCCAUGAUCGAGAGCUACCUUUAAGACCGACUCAUUUGUUGCAUUUGUAGAUUCCGCAGGAUGUCGUGGAUCAGCAAGCAUAGGGAAGAGACCUCUAACAAUGAGUGAUUGCCUUGCUUCAAAGGCCCCACUGAAGCUCCAUCUCAGUUGAUU
Molecule: unclassified non-coding RNA, 218 nt
Filed under: Hevea brasiliensis (rubber tree)
Lineage: Eukaryota; Viridiplantae; Streptophyta; Magnoliopsida; Malpighiales; Euphorbiaceae
Source: RNAcentral